GACGAACGCUGGCGGCGUGCCUAAUACAUGCAAGUUGAGCGCUGAAGGUUUGUACUUGUACCAACUGGAUGAGCAGCGAACGGGUGAGUAACGCGUGGGGAAUCUGCCUUUGAGCGGGGGACAACAUUUGGAAACGAAUGCUAAUACCGCAUAAAAACUUUAAACACAAGUUUCAAGUUUGAAAGAUGCAAUUGCAUCACUCAAAGAUGAUCCCGCGUUGUAUUAGCUAGUUGGUGAGGUAAAGGCUCACCAAGGCGAUGAUACAUAGCCGACCUGAGAGGGUGAUCGGCCAAAUUGGGAAUGAGAAACGGCCCAAACUCCUAAGGGAGGCAGCAGUAGGGAAUCUUCGGCAAUGGACGAAAGUCUGACCGAGCAAAGCCGCGUGAGUGAAGAAGGUUUUCGGAUCGUAAAACUCUGUUGGUAGAGAAGAACGUUGGUGAGAGUGGAAAGCUCAUCAAGUGACGGUAACUACACAGAAAGGGACGGCUAACUACGUG
This 497-nucleotide ribosomal RNA is filed under the name uncultured bacterium. RNAcentral's name for it is "partial 16S ribosomal RNA". It matches the Rfam family "Bacterial small subunit ribosomal RNA", at positions 28 to 507 of the family's 1533-position model. The record is from RNAcentral.